RNAcentral lists this ribosomal RNA (495 nucleotides) under uncultured bacterium. RNAcentral describes it as "bacterial SSU rRNA". It matches the Rfam family "Bacterial small subunit ribosomal RNA", at positions 29 to 529 of the family's 1533-position model. The record is from RNAcentral.
AGUGAACGCUGGCGGCAGGCCUAACACAUGCAAGUCGAGCGGCAGCGCGUCCGACCACCCUCGGGUGGUCGGAUGGCGGCGAGCGGCGGACGGGUGAGGAAUGCAUCGGAAUCUGCCUCGUUGUGGGGGAUAACGUAGGGAAACUUACGCUAAUACCGCAUACGACCUACGGGUGAAAGUGGGGGACCUUCGGGCCUCACGCGAUGAGAUGAGCCGAUGCCGGAUUAGCUAGUUGGCGGGGUAAAGGCCCACCAAGGCUAUGACGCCUACCUGGUCUGAGAGGAUGAUCAGGCACACUGGAACUGAGACACGGUCCAGACUCCUACGGGAGGCAGCAGUGGGGAAUAUUGCACAAUGGAGGAAACUCUGAUGCAGCAACGCCGCGUGGAGGAUGACGCAUUUCGGUGUGUAAACUCCUUUUAUAAGGGAAGAUAAUGACGGUACCUUAUGAAUAAGCACCGGCUAACUCCGUGCCAGCAGCCGCGGUAAAGUAGU